This 428-nucleotide ribosomal RNA is filed under the name uncultured bacterium. Its description in RNAcentral is "partial 16S ribosomal RNA". It matches the Rfam family "Bacterial small subunit ribosomal RNA", at positions 354 to 796 of the family's 1533-position model. The record is from RNAcentral.
GUGGGGAAUAUUGGGCAAUGGGCGGAAGCCUGACCCAGCGACGCCGCGUGGGGGAAGAAGUCUUUCGGGAUGUAAACCCUUGUUGUACGGGACGAAGGAAGUGACGGUACCGUACGAGGAAGCCCCGGCAAACUACGUGCCAGCAGCCGCGGUAAUACGUAGGGGGCGAGCGUUGUCCGGAAUCACUGGGCGUAAAGCGCACGUAGGCGGGCUGUCAAGUCGGCCGUGAAAGGCACGGGCUCAACCUGUGCAUGUCGGUCGAUACUGGCGGUCUGGAGUAUGGGAGAGGGGUGUGGAAUUCCAGGUGUAGCGGUGAAAUGCGUAGAUAUCUGGAGGAACAUCAGUGGCGAAGGCGACACCCUGGACCGAUACUGACACUGAGGUGCGAAAGCGUGGGUAGCGAACAGGAUUAGAAACCCGGGUAGUCC